RNAcentral lists this transfer RNA (57 nucleotides) under Porella cordaeana. Its description in RNAcentral is "partial tRNA-Leu". Lineage: Eukaryota; Viridiplantae; Streptophyta; Jungermanniopsida; Porellales; Porellaceae. The record is from RNAcentral.
UACGGACGGUUCAAGUCCCUCUACCCCCAUCGGAAGGAAUAAUAAUAUUUAUUAUGG